RNAcentral lists this ribosomal RNA (540 nucleotides) under uncultured Bacteroidota bacterium. Its description in RNAcentral is "bacterial SSU rRNA". It matches the Rfam family "Bacterial small subunit ribosomal RNA", at positions 9 to 539 of the family's 1533-position model. The record is from RNAcentral. Lineage: Bacteria; Pseudomonadati; Bacteroidota.
GAGUUUGAUCCUGGCUUUAGAAAAACGCUAGCGGCAGGCUUAAUACAUGCAAGUCGAGGUAAAACAGGGCUGUAGCAAUACAGUCGCUGGCGACCGGCAAACGGGUGCGGAACACGUACGCAACUUUUUCAUGACAGGGGCAUAGCCCGGGGAAACCCGGAUUAAUACCCCGUAACAUAGUGAGCAGGCAUCUGCUUAUUAUUAAAGCCUUCGGGUGGUCAUGGAUGGGCGUGCGGCUGAUUAGGUAGUUGGUUGAGGUAACGGCUCACCAAGCCUGCGAUCAGUAACUGGUGUGAGAGCACGACCAGUCACACGGGCACUGAGACACGGGCCCGACUCCUACUUUUGGCAGCAGUAAGGAAUAUUGGUCAAUGGACGCAAGUCUGAACCAGCCAUGCCGCGCGGAGGAUGAAGGUCCUCUGGAUUGUAAACUUCUUUUCUCUGGGACGAAACCCCCGAAUUCUUUUUGGUCUGACGGUACCAUAGGAAUAAGCACCGGAAAACUCCGUGCCAGAAGCCUGGUAUACGGAGGGUGCAAGC